Molecule: ribosomal RNA, 499 nt
Filed under: uncultured bacterium
Lineage: Bacteria
Description: bacterial SSU rRNA
Rfam family: Bacterial small subunit ribosomal RNA
Source: RNAcentral
ACUCAAAGGAAUAGACGGGGGCCCGCACAAGCGGUGGAGCAUGUGGUUUAAUUCGAGGCAACGCGAAGAACCUUACCAAGGCUUGACAUGGAGAUGACUGAUAUAGAGAUAUAUCUUCCCUUCGGGGCAUUUCACACAGGUGGUGCAUGGUUGUCGUCAGCUCGUGUCGUGAGAUGUUGGGUUAAGUCCCGCAACGAGCGCAACCCUUACGUUCAGUUGCCAGCAGGUAGCGCUGGGCCACACUGGAGGGACUGCCGUGGACAACACGGAGGAAGGUGGGGAUGACGUCAAAUCAUCAUGCCCCUUAUGUCUUGGGCUACACACGUGCUACAAUGGCGCCUACAACGUGAAGCAAAGCGGUGACGCAGAGCGGACCACAAAAAGGCGCCCCAGUUCGGAUUGUAGGCUGCAACCCGCCUGCAUGAAGUUGGAAUCGCUAGUAAUCGCGGAUCAGCACGCCGCGGUGAAUACGUUCCCGGGCCUUGCACACACCGCCCGU